AGCUGCCAAUCCACGCCUUCGGCCUCUCCGACCACCACCACACAACACUCACAAUCAUACACCAGUGGAGGACACACACUGGGAGCAAGGUGGGUUAAGUGUCUUGCCCAAGGACAAGACACUUAUUAGGAUUAGAGGGUUAGGGUUAGUGUUGGAGAGUUAAGGUUUAAGGUAGGGUAGGGUUAGGGGGUCAGAGUUGGAGUUAGGUUUAGGGUUAGAUGGUAAGGGUUUAGAUGAAGGUUAAGGUUUCAGGGUUAGGGUACAGGUUAGGGUUUGUAUUAUAAGGUAAGAACGUAAGGUUUAGGGUCAGGGUUUAAAGUUAGGGUUAGAGUUACAGUAAGGAUUAGGGACUAGAGUUGGAGUUAGAGUUAGGGUUAAAGAGUUUGGGUUAUGAUUAGGGUAAGGGUUUUAGGGUUGAUGUAAGGGUUAGGGUUAGAGUUAGUGGGCUAGAGUUGGAGUUAGAGUUAGGGUUAAAGGGUUUGGGUUAUGAUUAGGGUUAGAAUUAGGGUAAGGGUUUCAGGGUUGAUGUGAGGGUUGAGGUAAGGGUUUCAGGGUUAGUGUGGCGGUUAGGGUUUUAGGGUUUGGGAUAAGGUUAGAGAUUCAGGGUUAGGGUUUCAGGGUUGGUGUCAGGGUUACCGGAAAAAGUAUCUGCUCUUUUAUAGGAACCGAAAAUGAAUGAAAAUUGACUGAUUUUUAUAUGUGAGGCUGUCAAUUUAACAAGUCUUAUAACAGCAUUUACAAUCAACUAAUACAAUUUAUUAUCAUCUGCUGAUACUGAACUCUGUUACUGACGGUUAAAUGAACCUCCUUCCUGUGAAGAAUUUUUGGAUGUUUAAUGAAACAGACUGAAUUUCAUAUCGAUGCCUUUUUAUGACAUUAAAAAGCAAACAAGACCUUCAGCAAUAAGACUUUCGAUUCUCUUGUUGUAUUUUUAAUGCCUGAAACCAAUGUGAGGGGGACUGAAGAAACUGUUUUUACAAUUAACAUGUUAAAUAUUCACAAUAAUUCAUACAUUUUACAUCAAAAGUCAUCAGGAUAGGACAUCACUGAAGCAGCCAAGUCUUCUCACAUAUUCACAACAAUUCCUCUUGUUGCAGCUUUAUUUGCUAAAUGAACUGUUAGGAAACUGCGAGACACUUUGGUGUUAACUUGGUUAAUUUGGCUGGUCAAUUAUUGCAUCCUGUCUGUCUGAUCAUGAAGUCCUAAAAAUACCUCCUGUCUCUGGAUUACAUUAAUCCAGAGUCUCCCUGAGGAUGUGUGUGUCUGUGUGUGUCUGUGUGUGUGUUACUCGUAGUCCCUCCUGGCUGGAUAUCCCCAUUGAAAAGUCUUUCCUACCUCUGAUUCCUUCAGUUUUAUCAGGUGUAACGAGAAUGAGACAAUAAAGCGAGUCAUAGUGGUUGGUGUAGAAAACAUUUAAUGUCACAUUGAAGCACCACAAUAACAAUCAGCACAGAGAGACAUUUGCAACAAAAGGAAUUAAACAGCCCUCAGUUUAAGAGAUAAAUUAGGAGAUCCAUUGACUUCCACACCCAAACUAAUCUAAUUACACCACUCAUUCCCCUUCAUAUCCCAUAAUCAGUGGGCCAGAGUGGCUGAUAAUCCACUGGUUGAUGGUACAUUCAGGAAUGACAGAUGGUCCAUGCAGCCUGUGUACUGCUAGACCUGUGCACUCAGUUCAAAGUCCGUUUUAGCGACCAAGAAGUUGUGUAUCAGCAUCCUGUAUGUGUGUGUUUGUGUGCAUGUAUGUUUGUGCAUGUGUGUGAGCGUGUGUCCUCACCUCCUCCCAGUCAGGGAUUCUCCCUAAAGAGCUUUGAUGCCUUCCUUGCAUCACUCCUCGCUCUAAUCACUGGUACCAGCUGUCAUUGUGUGGGCCUCCCUCCUUCCUCUCUGAGCGUCUGCAGCACCACUUAACCUCACAUCCUCUACAGGCAGCCAUAAUGGACUCACGGUGCUCACGCUGCAACAUUAUGUACACAUAUCAGACACUGACUGCUCAACCUUUUUCGGUGUGUGGUACUUAGGUGAGAAUCACAGCUCAUUCUUGCCUCUCUCUGUUUUCUCAAAGCCUCAAAAAACCCUCUCAAUAGACCUCAAAACUAAAUGUCAGGGUCGAGUCCCGAAUACUUUUUCUCUCUCAGUAUGAACUAUAUUAAUGUCACUAUUUAUUGUUAUUCACGGAUAUUUAGCUACCUGAAUGUUUUUCUCAUUCUAGUUUUGUUUUCCUCGUUUAAGAAUAAAGAAACAUGUCCAACACCAAAAUGAUCAUUCCAACCUAAAUUUAACAUUAUUUAUUAUUGUUUUUUAACAUCUAAUGGAUCAGAACCAAGUUUAAGCAGUUCAGUCUGUAGUCUGCAUGAACCACAAAAAAAAUGAUGUUGAUCCUGCUAACCUGUGAAAAUUUGGAGGGACAGCAGCUCAUAUUUGAGGAUAAAACAGCACAUAAAGUACCCACUUAGCCACUGUCAGAAACAGAUAACAUUAGCAUUGUAGUCAUAAUAGCUGCAUGGCUCAUUAGCAUUGAGUUAUAUUUCUUCAUAUUACCCAGGUUAACAGGAUUGCAGAAAACUAGUAUUACCUUUUAGUAGUUUGGCAUAAGGUUAUAAAUAUAUAGCUUUUAUUAACUUAAGCCAUUCUGUCAGUAAGUCAACAUGAUAGUAGCUACUGCAUGAGAAACUGAGGUGAAUCUGGUGAAGAAUGAAGAGGCUAAAUGAACCUUAUUUUGUUACCGAGCAGUAGAUUUGGUUGCAGCAUAAAUUAAACCGCGACAGAACACAUCUAUAUCAUCUGAUCAGUGUAGAUGAUGGCCAUCUCAGCUGCCUGCUUAAUGUAUAGUCUUAUGAGUUUUGGCCCCUGCAGUUCAAACCUUUGAUGGGAUCUCCUCAGCUGGGUUAUAUCUGACCAUUUUUACCUGAGGGAACAUCUUAGUUCCCUAAAAGACGAAUGAGGCUGGACUAAAACUUCCUUUUUUCCUAAACCUAUAGAUCUGCUCCACUCAGAGUUAGAUUGUAACCUCUGUCUGCUUGGCCACUAACCUAUCAACUAAAACCUUACUCUAAUCCUUCACCUUUGACCUUUUGUAAUAACAAAGCCUGUAUUGGGAUGAACGCAACAUGAAAUAAUCCAUCUGCUGUGAUGGGUCCUGAGAUUUAGGAGCAUGGGGGGUUAAAACUCUCGGCCAGUUUUUGGCAAGUCUAGAACCACCGGAUCCUCUCAACCCACCAGAGUGAGUUCUACCAUUGCCAAACACUGUAGGAGAGAGAGAGAGAGAGUGAGAGAGAGGAGGAACUCAGAGAUCACUGCCUCCAGAUCUGUGACAACCAGGUUUCAGGUUACACAGGACAGCGUGUUGGAGAUGGAGCAUGAGCCUCCAUGGUAACCAGCAUCCAUAUCUCAUCCUCUCCGUAUCUUUCACACAAAUACACAAGAGCCUAUCAAUGAAAAUGAAAAUGGGCUGAGUGUUUUCUUAUCCUAUAUUGGCACUGCACAUGAUUGCUCAAACAAGAAGAACAAAAGCAAAAAUGUGCUAGUGCCAAACUGGGCUAAGAAGAGGGUCAGUUCAGCCUGGUUACUUCCACAGCAGAUGGAGACACAGGCAGUGUGGUUCUGUCUCUACUCUGUUUAUGGCCCUAUGGUAAUUCACUGAUAGUUUGCUGUGACAGUGAAUUCUACCAGUGCCAUACACAGAACAGGAGGAGAUACACGUGCAGUUCCAGACUCACAUUUGUGCCAACAAAGAUACGCAAGUCCACUCUAAACCUCAUCCUGUGUUCAGAAUGAACAAUAUCGAUGUCCACUACAUUUGAUUUCUUUCAUUUUAAAGUUGAAUUUUUGGGCAUGUUUGGCCUCCACCUUUACUUUUACAGGGGCAGGAGGAGCAGGUCUGAUGCUCACAUUGAUUAUGAGUGUGGGGAAUGAUGUGCUAAGUGAUUUUUGAGAUGCUCCAAAUGGGUCCCAAAGCAGGGCUCAUCUUUCUGUUUCCGGGAGAGAUCAAUAGAGUAAAAAGCUUCAGAGAGAGAGAGAGAGAGAGAGAGAGGGAGAGAGAGAGAGAGAGAGAGGGGGGAUUCUCAUGAAGCUUCACUGAUUAGUUGUAUGUUUUUAGUUGCUGUGUCUAGUGAUGAUUAUUAGUGCACACAGGACUUACCAUUACAAUGCAGCUGAAACAUGUGAUACCUCAUUGAUAAUUCAGUUGAACAGAGUAUUUCUCAAGCCACAUGCUUUUUUAAACAUUGCUGCAGUGUGAUAUUAAACAUCACGUAGUCACAAUUUAAUUUGCAGAAUCGAAACUUCACAUAUCUUAAGGUUUUUCUGUCAAAAUCAAACCAUCAUAUUUGAGGAAUAACGAGUUACUUUUUCACUUCUUUCCCCUGACAUGAUCAGCUGCUCUUUGAUUUGCUAAUCAACAACAUGAAAAUUGCUUUCAAUUCUUCUUCAAUUCACUUGUUCUUUUUUUUUGCAGGCUUUUGGAUUCUUACCUUAAGAAACGACCCAAAAUCCUGCGCACAGUAGUUACAAAAAAGACGAGAGGAAACCACUGUGAAAAUCCAAACACGUCCAACAGUAGUGUCUUCAGCACCACAAUCAUGUAAAAAUGUUUUAAAAAAUAAAAAACUUCUUUUCUACCUCCUUUAAAUAAACUGUCCAGAUGACUUUCAUUCUUCUUGAUACCUCCUCGGACCUCUCCGUCCACACUGACCGCUUGCUUUCCAGCUCCACUCGCCUCACGACUCCCUGCUUGUUUGGGCAGCAUGGCAGGGGAUUUUAGUGGACAGGUAAUUAGUUGGUAAGCAUCUUAACCCAUUGGUAGUAUAGUAAUCCACGCUGCCCUCCUCCCUCUCCUUCUGGCGCCUCUGUACGCAGGCCUACGGCACAUCUCCUCUGCCUCUUUUACGCACGGGACGCGCACUGCAGUGGCGACGAUGAAGGACAAUGCUCACUGGCUGAUCGUCACAUAGUGUUGCCCAACUAUUUUUUGUUUAAAAUAGUACAAGCCACACAAUAUACAGAACUAAAGUACAUUUUCACACAACAAAGAUUAAAGUCACACUCCACGCGCUGCAAAACAAAACUGAUGUUUACAGCAAACCUACCAGCACCCCCGGGUGUGGCACCCUGCUGCAGCCCGGCCUGAAGCUCCGCACGGUUUCUGUCCUGCUCCCCGGGUCCAGAACUUUUUCCACACCGAGGCCUCCACUGUUCCUCUUUAUAUGCAGGCACCCUGAGAUCCCUGAAGGGCUCAUUUACCUGCUGUCGGUGAUUAUUAGCCAGAUUGCUGGUGGAAAAGACGCAUCAUCCUUUCAGCUGAUGUGAGGGCGUCAGAGUGGGAGAGGACAGGUUUGGGUUACGGCUCUUUCAAAGUUGACUCUGAAAUCCACCCGCGCAGCCUUUGUCCUCUCCAUACAUUAUGAAGGAGGUGCAGCCGGACAGCAGCGGCUCCCCAGCCUCCACACUGUGCUGCCAAAGCUGCUCGCGUUACUCCAAGGAUGAAUUAAAAACGUGCAACUCUCAGA
This 5507-nucleotide long non-coding RNA is filed under the name Xyrichtys novacula (pearly razorfish). The record is from RNAcentral. Lineage: Eukaryota; Metazoa; Chordata; Actinopteri; Labriformes; Labridae.